CGAUCCCUAGCUGGUCUGAGAGGAUGACCAGCCACACUGGAACUGAGACACGGUCCAGACUCCUACGGGAGGCAGCAGUGGGGAAUAUUGCACAAUGGGCGCAAGCCUGAUGCAGCCAUGCCGCGUGUAUGAAGAAGGCCUUCGGGUUGUAAAGUACUUUCAGCGGGGAGGAAGGGAGUAAAGUUAAUACCUUUACUCAUUGACGUUACCCGCAGAAGAAGCACCGGCUAACUCCGUGCCAGCAGCCGCGGUAAUACGGAGGGUGCAAGCGUUAAUCGGAAUUACUGGGCGUAAAGCGCACGCAGGCGGUUUGUUAAGUCAGAUGUGAAAUCCCCGGGCUCAACCUGGGAACUGCAUCUGAUACUGGCAAGCUUGAGUCUCGUAGAGGGGGGUAGAAUUCCAGGUGUAGCGGUGAAAUGCGUAGAGAUCUGGAGGAAUACCGGUGGCGAAGGCGGCCCCCUGGACGAAGACUGACGCUCAGGUGCGAAAGCGUGGG
Molecule: ribosomal RNA, 496 nt
Filed under: uncultured bacterium
Lineage: Bacteria
Description: bacterial SSU rRNA
Rfam family: Bacterial small subunit ribosomal RNA
Source: RNAcentral